AGUCGAGGGGCAACAGAACAUUUAUGUUGCUGGCGACCGGCGAACGGGUGAGUAACACGUAUGCAAUCUACCUUGUACAGGGGGAUAGCUUCUGGAAACGGAAAUUAAUACCCCAUAUGGUGAAUAGAGCACAUGCUUUGUUCAUGAAAGCUCAGGCGGUACAAGAUGAGCAUGCGUCCUAUUAGCUUGUUGGUGAGGUAAUGGCUCACCAAGGCGAUGAUGGGUAGGGGGUCUGAGAGGACGAUCCCCCACACUGGCACUGAGACACGGGCCAGACUCUUACGGGAGGCAGCAGUAGGGAAUAUUGGUCAAUGGGCGCAAGCCUGAACCAGCCAUGCCGCGUGCAGGAUGAAGGUCAUAAGAUUGUAAACUGCUUUUGUACAAGAACAAUAAGUUCCUGCGGGGACCCAUGAGAGUAUUGUACAACAAAAAGCACCGGCUAACUUCGUGCCAGCAGCUGCGGUAAGACGAGGGGUGCAAGCGUUAUCCGGAUUUACUGGGUUUAAAGGGUGCGUAGGCGGUUGAAUAAGUCAAUGGUGAAAGCUAGCAGCUUAACUGUUAAAGUGCCAUUGAUACUAUUUAGCUAGAGUACAGUUAAGGUAAGUGGAACUCCAUGUGUAGCAGUGAAAUGCUUAGAUAUAUGGAAGAACACCAACAACGAAGGUAACUUACUGGGCUGUCACUGACGCUGAGGCACGAAAGCGUAGGGAGCAAACAGGAUUAGAUACCCUGGUAGUCUACGCUGUAAACGAUGAUCACUCGAUGUAUGCUUUUAGCAUAUGUCU
RNAcentral lists this ribosomal RNA (785 nucleotides) under uncultured Bacteroidota bacterium. RNAcentral describes it as "bacterial SSU rRNA". It matches the Rfam family "Bacterial small subunit ribosomal RNA", at positions 60 to 848 of the family's 1533-position model. Lineage: Bacteria; Pseudomonadati; Bacteroidota. The record is from RNAcentral.